AGAUUGAACGCUGGCGGCAUGCCUUACACAUGCAAGUCGAGCGGCAGCGCGGGGGCAACCCUGGCGGCGAGCGGCGAACGGGUGAGUAAUACAUCGGAACGUGUCCUUUCGUGGGGGAUAACCAGUCGAAAGACUGGCUAAUACCGCAUGAGAUCUCACGAUGAAAGCGAGGGACCGCAAGGCCUCGCGCGAAUGGAGCGGCCGAUGUCGGAUUAGCUAGUUGGCGGGGUAAAAGCCCACCAAGGCGACGAUCCGUAGCUGGUUUGAGAGAACGACCAGCCACACUGGGACUGAGACACGGCCCAGACUCCUACGGGAGCAGCAGUGGGGAAUUUGGACAUGGGCGCAAGCCUGAUCCAGCCAU
This 364-nucleotide ribosomal RNA is filed under the name uncultured soil bacterium. Its description in RNAcentral is "bacterial SSU rRNA". It matches the Rfam family "Bacterial small subunit ribosomal RNA", at positions 26 to 395 of the family's 1533-position model. The record is from RNAcentral.